UACAGAGGAUGCAAGCGUUAUCCGGAAUGAUUGGGCGUAAAGCGGGUGUAGGCGGAUGCCUAAGUACCUUGUGAAAUCCCACGGCUCACCCGUGGAACUGCUUGGUAUACUGGGUGUCUUGAGCCACUUAGGGGCUACCGGAACAAAUGGUGGAGCGGUGAAAUGCGUAGAUAUCAUUUGGAACGCCAAUGGUGAAAACAGGUAGCUGGGAGUGUGCUGACGCUGAGACACGAAAGCCAGGGGAGCAAACGGG
Molecule: ribosomal RNA, 253 nt
Filed under: uncultured bacterium
Lineage: Bacteria
Description: partial 16S ribosomal RNA
Rfam family: Bacterial small subunit ribosomal RNA
Source: RNAcentral